ACUCCUACGGGAGGCAGCAGUGGGGAAUAUUGCACAAUGGGGGAAACCCUGAUGCAGCCAUGCCGCGUGUAUGAAGAAGGCCUUCGGGUUGUAAAGCACUUUCAGCGAGGAGGAAAGGUUAGUAGUUAAUACCUGCUAGCUGUGACGUUACUCGCAGAAGAAGCACCGGCUAACUCCGUGCCAGCAGCCGCGGUAAUACGGAGGGUGCGAGCGUUAAUCGGAAUUACUGGGCGUAAAGCGUGCGCAGGCGGUUUGUUAAGCGAGAUGUGAAAGCCCCGGGCUCAACCUGGGAACCGCAUUUCGAACUGGCAAACUAGAGUCUUGUAGAGGGGGGUAGAAUUCCAGGGUGUAGCGGUGAAAUGCGUAGAGAUCUGGAGGAAUACCGGUGGCGAAGGCGGCCCCCUGGACAAAGACUGACGCUCAGGCACGAAAGCGUGGGGAGCAAACAGGAUUAGAUACCCUGGUAGGAUAG
RNAcentral lists this ribosomal RNA (472 nucleotides) under uncultured bacterium. RNAcentral describes it as "bacterial SSU rRNA". It matches the Rfam family "Bacterial small subunit ribosomal RNA", at positions 335 to 798 of the family's 1533-position model. The record is from RNAcentral.